CGCUUUCGACGUUGUUGUCCUUCCUCCCUCUCCCUCCCACCCCUUUAUUCCUCUUACUCUAUCGCACUCUUGUAUGUACACUAUCAACCCUUGCAAACUACCCCCUCCACAUAUUCUCCUCCUCCUCCUCCUCCUCCUCCACCUUCUCCUCUUUCUCCACCUUCGAAAUUCUCUCUCUCUCGUAUCGUUCACCUAUUCGAGAAAGGCGAGAGCAUAAGCGCGCGCGUAAAACCGCGACAACAUUCUCUCCCCCUCUCUCUCUACCUCUCUUACACUUCUCUCUCCCUCUCGGUGCUUUUCUUCAAUCGUUAAUCGACUCCGAUCGUCUUUAGGAAACGAUUCUGCCCGUCCGUUUGUCGAUUCGUCUGGCUAUUUAUCUAUUUGUUCUCCUAAAUAAUAAAUAACGAUAAUAAUAAUGCAGAACUAAUAAUGGAGAACGAUGAAUUUUGUAGUUAGUCAAUUGAAACUGUAAGGAAAAAACUGCAGCACUCCUCGAGCUGGAUGAUAGACGUGCGUUUGAUAGCUCGAGUUACGUACUAUGGCCGGUUGUUAGUACUCUAACGGUUGGAUAAAAAAAAAAGGGGUAGGAAAAUGUAGAAGGAAACCGCAGGUUCGCAUCAAUGUGGGCUCCGACGUUCGCACACGAGCGAACGUCCAGCCGCGCACGCGAGAGACUGGCUCGGGAGUGCGACCGAUUCGUGAGCUCGCGCAGAGAGAGGGGUUGAAUGGUGUGCGUGUGAUGGAUAGAUUGGUAGAAAGAGGGAGAGAAGUAUCGCGGAGUCACGCUCGACGUUCUUACCGUUGACGGAGAUAUUAUUGGAAGUGGUGUUGGUGAAACGAGAUGAGGGGUGGUGCUGACGACGUAUAGGGGUAGCUAGCGGUAGCAACGACUACGACUACGACUACGACAACGACGAUGAUGAUGGUGGUGCUGUUGUUGCCGGUGGUGGUUGCGUAGAUCGAGUGAGAGAGACGAAGCCUGGAGAAAUUGGUGGGGGUAUAAGCCGCGAUAGCCGAGCUUGUCGGCUAGGUCGAAGGGUUGUGGCGUCGAGAGGGGCGGAGCACGGGAGUGUAGUCGCGCGAAUGCGGCUGGCUCCGGCGAUUCCUCAUAGGGCGGAGACGCGAUCGAUGCCUAGCAUGGCCCACCACCCUACCGGAGGGGUAGUUCGCGUUACGAGCCAAUCGCUGACUCGCUCGCGUCCUUAAAUCCGAAGAUACUCGUCCCCCCGCCCCCUGCCCCUACCAUCCUCCUGCCUGCUGCGUUUCUAUCUACGCCAACUCUGUGAUCGAGUACGAGGGGUAGAGAAAGAAAGAGAGAGAGAAAGAGAGAGAGAGUGGGACGGACGGACGAACGAACGAACGAACGUUGCUGCCGGGGCCUUUCUACCAGUUAUUCCAACGAGAGAAAGAGACAGAUUCGAGUGGGGGAAAUGGAGUUAACGUAGUAGGAAGGGGGAUGAACGAGCCUCGAAAGAGGGAAACACCACAACCCGCUUCUGCUGCUGCUGCUGCUGCUGUUGCUGCUGGUGGUGGUGCCCCUGCCACGCCGUGUUACUUAUCCAUUAUAACACUCCAAGAUCUUGAUUUAAGCCUGCAGCCAGCGAAAUAAAAGGGACUAUGCGGAACGAUUAAGAAGAAAGAGAAAGAUAAAGAAAGAGAAGGGCCGAGGAUUAAUAGAAAAGGAAAAAGAGAUCGUAAGCUGGUACCCGUUACUGGGUUGCUAUCGCUGUUACUGUUGUUGCUACUGUCGCUGUUGGGUGCUGGUGUUCGAGGGAGAAACACAAUGGCAAUGGGGAUAAACGAGGAGUCGAGUACUGAAAGUCGAGGUGGUACGAGGCGCUAAGAAGAAGAAGGAAAAAAAAGAGAAAAAAAAUCAGAAUCAUAGAAAUGUUUAAACGUCUCCGUUUGGACUUUAGUUAUGGAAAAAAAGAAAAAGAAGAAGAAAAAAAUAGGAAUGGUUUCGUUCGUAGCUCGUUUUAAUCAAGCGAACGCGGCCUUUUGUAAGUAUAACCAGCCGACGAUGAAAGACGAAUGAUGGCAAGAAAUAUCAAUUACACGAAUCCAUUCAGAAAUAUGAAAAGGAGGAAUAGAACGAGAGAAAGAGA
Molecule: long non-coding RNA, 2105 nt
Filed under: Polistes fuscatus (common paper wasp)
Lineage: Eukaryota; Metazoa; Arthropoda; Insecta; Hymenoptera; Vespidae
Description: uncharacterized LOC122518723
Source: RNAcentral